AGUGAACGCUGGCGGCAGGCCUAAUACAUGCAAGUCGAACGGCAGCACAGCAGAGCUUGCUCUGUGGGUGGCGAGUGGCGGACGGGUGAGGAAUACAUGGGAAUCUGCCCAGUCGUGGGGAUAACGUAGGGAAACUUACGCUAAUACCGCAUGCGCCCUUCGGGGAAAGCCGGGGACCUUCGGGCCUGGCGCGAUUGGAUGAGCCCAUGUCGGAUUAGCUAGUUGGCGGGGUAAUGGCCCACCAAGGCGACGAUCCGUAGCUGGUCUGAGAGGAUGAUCAGCCACACUGGAACUGAGACACGGUCCAGACUCCUACGGGAGGCAGCAGUAGGGAAUAUUGGACAAUGGGCGCAAGCCUGAUCCAGCCAUGCCGCGUGAGUGAAGAAGGCCCUCGGGUUGUAAAGCUCUUUUGUCCGGAAAGAAAAGCGCCGGGUUAAUACCCCUGGCGUCCUGACGGUACCGGAAGAAUAAGCACCGGCUAAACUUCGUGCCAGCAGCCGCGGUAAU
RNAcentral lists this ribosomal RNA (507 nucleotides) under uncultured bacterium. Its description in RNAcentral is "bacterial SSU rRNA". It matches the Rfam family "Bacterial small subunit ribosomal RNA", at positions 29 to 524 of the family's 1533-position model. The record is from RNAcentral.